Molecule: ribosomal RNA, 482 nt
Filed under: uncultured bacterium
Lineage: Bacteria
Description: partial 16S ribosomal RNA
Rfam family: Bacterial small subunit ribosomal RNA
Source: RNAcentral
AUUGAACGCUGGCGGCAUGCCUUACACAUGCAAGUCGAACGGUAACAGGUCUUCGGAUGCUGACGAGUGGCGAACGGGUGAGUAAUACAUCGGAACGUGCCCGAUCGUGGGGGAUAACGAAGCGAAAGCUUUGCUAAUACCGCAUACGAUCUACGGAUGAAAGCGGGGGAUCUUCGGACCUCGCGCGGACGGAGCGGCCGAUGGCAGAUUAGGUAGUUGGUGGGAUAAAAGCUUACCAAGCCGACAAUCUGUAGCUGGUCUGAGAGGAUGAUCAGCCACACUGGGACUGAGACACGGCCCAGACUCCUACGGGAGGCAGCAGUGGGGAAUUUUGGACAAAGGGCGCAAGCCUGAUCCAGCCAUGCCGCGUGCAGGAUGAAGGCCUUCGGGUUGUAAACUGCUUUUGUACGGAACGAAAAGGUGCCUUCUAAUAAAGGGCGCUCAUGACGGUACCGUAAGAAUAAGCACCGGCUAACUACGUG